CGUGAAAAUCUUGGACGUUCUCAUAUUUUUGAUAGAGAAGA
RNAcentral lists this small RNA (41 nucleotides) under uncultured marine Prymnesiales. RNAcentral's name for it is "partial Mitochondrion-encoded tmRNA". The record is from RNAcentral. Lineage: Eukaryota; Haptophyta; Prymnesiales.